GACGAAUGCUGGCGGUGUGCUUAAUACAUGCAAGUCGAGCGAACAGACGAGGAUCUUACUCUUCUGACGUUAGCGGCGGACGGGUGAGUAACACGUGGAUAACCUACCUAUAAGACUGGGACAACUUCGAGAAACCGGAACUAAUACCGGAUAACAUUUUGAACCGCAUGGUUCAACAGUUAAAUACGGGCUUGCUGUCACUUCUACAUGGAUCCGCGUCGCAUUAGCUAGUUGGUAAGGUAACGGCUUACCAAGGCAACGAUGCGUAGCCGACCUGAGAGCGUGAUGGCCGACACUGAGACUGGACCGCGGUCCAGAGACCUAGGGGAGGCAGCGGUAGCGAAUGGACGGCGAUGGGGGGAAGACUGACCGAGCAGCGCAGCGUGAGUGCAGAGGGGCCUCGGAUCGUAUGACGGUGUUAUUGGGGAAGAACAAAUGUGUAAGUAACUAUGCACGUCGUGACGGUACCUAGUCAGAAAGCAACGGCUAACUACGUG
Molecule: ribosomal RNA, 497 nt
Filed under: uncultured bacterium
Lineage: Bacteria
Description: partial 16S ribosomal RNA
Rfam family: Bacterial small subunit ribosomal RNA
Source: RNAcentral